GACGAACGCUGGCGGCGUGCCUAAUACAUGCAAGUCGAACGGUCUUUUCUAUGAAAGCUUGCUUUCACUGAGAAGAUAGUGGCGGACGGGUGAGUAACACGUGGGUAACCUGCCCAUAAGAGGGGGAUAACAUCCGGAAACGGGUGCUAAUACCGCAUAGUUUUCUUGGUCACAUGACUGAGAAAGGAAAGACGGCCUUUGUGCUGUCGCUUAUGGAUGGACCCGCGGCGUAUUAGUUAGUUGGUGAGGUAAUGGCUCACCAAGACGAUGAUACGUAGCCGACCUGAGAGGGUGAUCGGCCACAUUGGGACUGAGACACGGCCCAAACUCCUACGGGAGGCAGCAGUAGGGAAUCUUCCGCAAUGGACGAAAGUCGGACGGAGCAACGCCGCGGGAGUGAAGAAGGUUUUGGGAUCGUAAAACUC
This 425-nucleotide ribosomal RNA is filed under the name uncultured bacterium. RNAcentral's name for it is "bacterial SSU rRNA". It matches the Rfam family "Bacterial small subunit ribosomal RNA", at positions 28 to 433 of the family's 1533-position model. The record is from RNAcentral.